UUGAAAGGGAAACGAUUGAAGUCAGUCGUACCUAUGGGUAAUCAGCCUUUUGGGUGUGAUUUUGUGGAGCGUGAGGAGUUAAACGCCUUCAUGCCUGCAUAUUCGUGCACUUUGGGUGUACUUGCCCGUGUGUAAGUUAACAUCAAUUUUGGUGGUCAUAAAAUGGCUGGAGGAAUGUAGCUUCGAUCUUGUAUUGAAGUGUUAUAGCCUUCGGUAGAUGUGACGAUCGGGAUUGAGGAUUGCAACGGAUACCCUUCGGGGCUACCUGUCUGAUCUCUGAUUGUUGCUCUGGUGCCGAAAGCUUGCUUACGGUUAUCAAAGUCGAUGGUCAAUAGGUUAGAAUGGGUUAAAUUCGUUAAG
Molecule: ribosomal RNA, 360 nt
Filed under: uncultured Glomeromycotina
Lineage: Eukaryota; Fungi; Glomeromycota
Description: LSU rRNA
Source: RNAcentral